Cinara cedri is the source of this 373-nucleotide non-coding RNA. NCBI's taxonomy places the organism in Eukaryota, Metazoa, Arthropoda, Insecta, Hemiptera, Aphididae. The record is from the annotation of a GenBank genome assembly.
CUUCUCGCCUACAACCGGAGUUAAUAUUAAAAUAAUGUAUCGGGUGUAUAAUAUUAUAUACUUACGGGCGGAAGACCUAUUGCAGCGCGGACUCGGUUUCGUCGGCGGCUUCUCGUUUCCGUGGCUGUCGGGCUGCUGUCGGCUGGCAAACAGGAAAAAACGGCAAGGCACGCGCGAGUGCGCCAGACAAAUGAAAUCGCGGAGUUCGCCGCCGAACGUUCGGACGGGUGUCCUAGACGUUCCGGGGCGCGACGCGGGGCAGGGGGGGGAUAGAGCGCGUCAGCUAGCGCAACCGGUGGCUCGUUCCCGCGACGCGUCUGCCGUGCGACGCAUACAGAGUGUCCCACGAGAAGACAUUCGUAAUAUUUCCGGA